AAAAUAUACUUUGAUCCUUAAUUAGACAAUAAUACUCAAAAAUGUCUUAAUGAGCCUUUUUGGGUGGCUGUUGUUGAAUGUCUAUGUCCCAUAAUGCACUGCUUGUAUAUUAAUAUCUAUAUUUAAACUGUGCCAAACAUACGAACAGUUUUUUCACCAAGUUGCAUGAAGCAAUAUGUUAAAGAAAUGCUGAUCGCUGGCUGCUGACUCAUUUUCUACGGGGACUUCACAGAGAUUGGAUACGGAGGCUUAUGAAGUCAUUGAUCACUGUGAAAUUUGAGGACAUUUUUUCCAGAACCAAACCACUUACAUUUAUCAAUGCAUUGCAAAUAUAAUGAAUAGAAAUUGUGUCUGUGUUUAAACAGUGUGGGCAAAAAUUAUAGUAUAUUAUGGAUCUCAAAAUGUACCUUCUCAACCAAGGCUAUUAUAACUGUCAGUUAAUGGAUUUAUGUGUUGAUGAUCAGAUAAUCAGUGUGUCUUUCAAAGUGCUUGAUCACAAUUUGACUACACUAUUUUCACUGUGGUCUAGGAUAGAAAUAUGCUUAAACGCUCUUAUACCAGUUGUGGCUCUGCUAACACACGUGCUAAAGAAGAUUUAGCAGGUUAUAAACAUGGUUGUUGAAAGACAACAAAACAGAUUUGGUCAGCUGUUAAAAGAAAGUUUGAUAUUCUGGAAAAUGCUCGUCUUUAUAAGAAAAAGUGAGGCGACAAGAGGAUAAAUAUCAUUUUCUUCUUGCAUUUCAAGUUUGACGCUAAGAGCUAGUUAAAGUUAGCAUAAGGGCUGGAAGAAGAGAGCAACAGUUAGCCUGGCUCUGGCCUCAAAUGUACCACAACUCUGAAAUGAAACCGUCAUUUUCACAUUUCUGUGAACGGGUUCAAGAAACAAGACAAAUAAGUUAAUUUGAGAGGUUCUUACAUUGAUUGGUAGACAUAUUUUUGUACUUUUCAGUCUUUAAGCUAAGCUAAGCUAAGCUAACAGCUUCCCGACUCCAGCCCUGCACAGUCAAGUUUUUCACUAACCUCAGUAAAAAAAAGGCAGUUAGCCACAACAGCUUCUAAUUUUACUGUUUCUUUCAACAGUUAGCUACAACAGCUUCUAAUUUUAUUGUUUCUUUCAACAGUUAGCUACAACAGCUCCUAAUUUUAUAGUUUCUUUUCCUCUGACAACUGCCUAAAAAAAUCUAAUUUUGGAAAAUUCAGAACAGCAUUCUCAGUUGUAAGGCCAGUGUUAUGUUUUCCGUGAGUACGCAAAGGAUUUUACGUAGUUACUGACUGCACUACAAUGGGCACUAGUGCACAUAUUUGGGGGUAGCAUGUAUACAUGAAUACAUAGAUAUGACCUACUGCUCAUGUAUGCAGUAAAAUCUUCCAAAAAGACUCCUGUUGAUGGAAAACUAGUGUAAAUCAUUGAUUAUAAUGAGGCACAAACAUGCUAAUGGACAGCUGUGAAUAUGCACGGAUGUAUAACUGUUGCUAUUAUUCUACUUUCUAGUCCAAAGGAGUCCGCUUGUAAGAAACGGCUGCAUAGAUGUGCAGUAGGUUGCAUUGACAACCUAUUGUAUACUACUGGGUUCUAGCGUGGUCACCAUAAAUUUUGGCUAGACAUAUGCAGAUGAAGUUCUUGCCAAAUUGGGAAGAGGAUGGAAUUUAUCUCACAUUGGCCCUUGUGUGCUCACAGAGAUGAAAAAUAUGACCUAUAACCUAACACUAACCCAAACCCCACGGAGUAUAAUCAAUGCUUUAAAGUUCAAAGAGCUGACAUCCAGUUAGUAGCCAAGUCACAGGACCACAAACCUGCACCGUACCUUGGAGUUACCCAACCAUAUAAACCAGUAUGACUCAUCUACCCAGCUACAUAAUGAAUACAAAACUUUAUUGCGGCAAUUAACCUGACAUGACCUUUUCCAGCCACAUCUUUUGUCAUAAUUUCCCGUCACGGCCACAAUAACAAGAUACUGACUUUGAACUAAAGCAGAUCAUCAGCAUAUAUGGUAAUCAGUCCACCACUUAGCAGGAGAGGAGGUUAAAAAAAACAGAUGCAGUUGUAACAGUUAACCAGCAACAUGCCAAAGCAUUUCUCUUUAUCAUUUCCUCUGUGCUUCUCUGUAUCUGUUGUAUAUACUUCAAGCCAAGAUGCCUAGUUAGCUCCUCACUAGCCUAAUGUGGGUGCAAGCAGUUGUGGUAACAAAACAUUUGAGACUGUAAAUUGAAAUGUCAAAAUGUUGAAAAUGAAAAAAAUACCCCUUUGUAUCAGGUUGGGUCGUGAUUGGCUAGUUGCACUGCCACAAAGCAUCAGUAAUUGUGCUAGUGGCCCAUAAGGCUACUAAUGUUGACAGCAUCCCACUGGACUGAUGUGUUGAGCAACACUAAAUAAGGAAGGUGGUUUUGCUUUUCUCUGUGUCUUAUCAAUGGCAGGACUACAGUGUUGUACUACAGGAAAAGCCAGGAGAUCAAUAAAAUCAGCAGGAUUUGGGAGUUAAUUUUCCAACUAAAUGACGAGACAGUCAAAUAACAACAAUAACUAGCAACAUUUUUGAUUUAUUUUCUGUUUUCUCAGACUCACAUGAUUGAGUUUUAGACCGUUGGUUGGACAAAACAAGCAAUAUUCCCAAGCAUUUUCAGACAAUUUUCCAAUUAAAUUAUUGCCUCACAUCAUUUAAUAAUGAAAAUACUUUUUUCCCCUUAGAUAUGAGUUGAUAUCGGAUGAUCCAUAGAAUCUUUUGGGAAGCAUCAAUGUGUUCCAUAAAUGUCGUGCUAAUUUAGCAAUUAUAUUUGAAUAGGAGGAAUGUGGUGGCAAAUUGGCUGAUAGUUUUUGAAAGCCUUUCUUACAAAGUUGGAUUGCUUUGAUGUAAAUGUCAUAAAUGUCUGCACUCGCAGUAUAUUAAUGCUCCCUGGCUGCACUGUUCCUUGUGAUGCUCACAGUAGAACUGUGGUCUUGCGCUCCUUUCUAUAUGUAUGUCGCUGUUUGUAACCGAGAGCUGUGUGUUUGACUCCAUGCAGCAGCUGCAUACUAAGAGGCCUGUACACGCACAUCCAGUGCUUCAGCCUGAAAGUAGUGGUCGUUUAAAAGGUGGAUUUGAAAUGACAAUGAUAGGGAACUAAUAGUGGUAUCACUGAGUCAUUUCUUUAGGAUUUGAAACAAAUACUUUUCCAAUCUCUCGCCAUAAAAGACAAGAAUCCAUGACAUGUUAGCGUACUAUACAUGCUACUUGAUGUCAGAUCUACAUCAAAACAACCUGUUUUUAUGUGUAUUUUUAGUUAGCACAGAAAAAGCCUCAAUGAACAAUUAAAAUGUGAAAAAGUCUUGAAUUAUUGCCAAAAAAAGACAGGUUUUAGGCUGAGGUUGUGUCCAAUGCAGACCUAAUGAAUAAAUAAUAGCGUACAUGAAUCAUGUGAGCUUAUGGCAAACCAACCGCUAAUAUUCACACAGUGGUUGUUUCUUUAAGUUUCUACUUGGUGGUUUGUUGUAGUAGAAAUUAAACUGCCGGAGUAGUUUACAGCACAAUACCAUCCUGAACAAUGUGCUCCAUUCAAAGCUGGAAUUUCCCAGUUAGUUGGACGACUCAUUUUGGUUAUCAAACCAGAAACUUUCUUUGCUUUGUGUACUGUACUUCUGCCGCAACACAAAACUCUAGUGUAUCAGUACUUAACAUGUUUCUAGCUACGUUGGGGUGGACUGUUAGCAGCUGCAAAUGCAACUCUGCUUCACCGUCAGUCAAGUUUCUUGUAGGUUUUGAUAAAUUUAUGGUGUUGGAGUGUCCAUUUUCAGAAUAAAACGGUUCCAGUAAGUAAUGGUGUUUAUGGACGGAGUGCCAUCAAGUUUUAUUUGACUAUAUCUUUGAAAAUAAUACAUCUUGCCUGAUUUUCUUGCUUGCGCUUUUUGUUUCUAAGAGUUCAGAAUUUCAGAAUCCAUCACAUCUGAAAGGCUGUCUUAGCCUCCGCAUCUUGAUUAGUCAUCAUCUACACUGCCAGAAGGGCCAUAUUUGAAAGGAAAUAUGGGUGAAUGAAGGUGCUUGUUUGUAUUUCUGUAUAAACAUGCAGAUAAAGCCUCUCAAAUCAGGUUGUAUUCCACAUUUCAAAAGCACACUACGAUCCAACCAUCCAACCGACCCCUUGUCUGUACCUACAGUAUGUGAAUCAACAUGUACUACAUUACGUGUACGCAAGCAAAUAAAAGAAAGUUG
Amphiprion ocellaris (clown anemonefish) is the source of this 4184-nucleotide long non-coding RNA. Lineage: Eukaryota; Metazoa; Chordata; Actinopteri; Pomacentridae. The record is from Ensembl.